Molecule: ribosomal RNA, 449 nt
Filed under: uncultured bacterium
Lineage: Bacteria
Description: SSU rRNA
Rfam family: Bacterial small subunit ribosomal RNA
Source: RNAcentral
AGGAUGAACGCUGGCGGUCUGCUUAACACAUGCAAGUCGAACGGAGUACCUCGGUACUUAGUGGCGGACGGGUGAGUAACGCGUGAGAAUCUGCCCUUAGGUCGGGGACAACCAUUGGAAACGAUGGCUAAUACCGGAUAAGCCGAGAGGUAAAAGAUUAAUUGCCUAGGGAAGAGCUCGCGUCUGAUUAGCUAGUUGGUGAGGUAAAGGCUCACCAAGGCAUCGAUCAGUAGCUGGUCUGAGAGGAUGAUCAGCCACACUGGGACUGAGACACGGCCCAGACUCCUACGGGAGGCAGCAGUGGGAAUUUUCCGCAAUGGGCGAAAGCCUGACGGAGCAAGACCGCGUGAGGGAGGAAGGCUCUUGGGUUGUAAACCUCUUUUUCUUGGGGAAGAACAAAUGACGGUACCCAAGGAAUCAGCAUCGGCUAACUCCGUGCCAGCAGCCGC